GCCGGACGCGGUGGCGCGCGCCUGUAGUCCCAGCUACUCGGGAGGCUGAGGCAGGAGGAUCACUUGAGUCCAGGAGUUCUGGGCUGUAGUGCGCUAUGCCGAUUGGGUGUCCGCACUAAGUUCAAGUUCGGUAUCAAUAUGGUGACCUCCCGGGAGCGGGGGACCACCAGGUUGCCUAAGGAGGGGUGAACCGGCCCAGGUCGGAAACGGAGCAGGUCAAAACUCCCGUGCUGAUCUGAAUUGGAUCUUGGAAGACAGACUAGAUUUUGAUAAGUGGAGAAAAGACAUUUCAGGUGGAAGAAACAACUAUAUCAAGAU
Molecule: signal recognition particle RNA, 318 nt
Filed under: Prolemur simus (greater bamboo lemur)
Lineage: Eukaryota; Metazoa; Chordata; Mammalia; Primates; Lemuridae
Description: Metazoan signal recognition particle RNA (ENSPSMG00000003284.1)
Rfam family: Metazoan signal recognition particle RNA
About the family: The signal recognition particle (SRP) is a universally conserved ribonucleoprotein. It is involved in the co-translational targeting of proteins to membranes. The eukaryotic SRP consists of a 300-nucleotide 7S RNA and six proteins: SRPs 72, 68, 54, 19, 14, and 9.
Source: RNAcentral